Molecule: transfer RNA, 73 nt
Filed under: Stegodyphus mimosarum
Lineage: Eukaryota; Metazoa; Arthropoda; Arachnida; Araneae; Eresidae
Description: tRNA-Ala for anticodon CGC
Rfam family: tRNA
About the family: Transfer RNA (tRNA) molecules are approximately 80 nucleotides in length. Their secondary structure includes four short double-helical elements and three loops (D, anti-codon, and T loops).
Source: Rfam by way of RNAcentral
GCCUUCGUGGUGUAGUGGUCAGCACGCUCGACGCGCAUUCGAGAGGUCCCUGGUUCGAGUCCCGGCGAGGGCA